UAACAAGUAAAAAACGCGUAAACAUGUUUAGAGAUGGUAAAUACAUGCUUACGGAGCGAGCUCUGAAAUUGGUGUUUCUGUAUUGUGAGCUAUGCAAUAUUUCAAUCAUAUAUUUUUGGCAUCGUUGUUAAUAUCUUUGUUGAAGUUGAGUUGAACAACAAAACAAGUGACUUGGAAUUAUAGGUAUCUCACACAUACAAACAUACUAUAGCCUAUAAGUCAUGUUCAGCCACACUUUGUUGUAAAUAUUCCUUGUAUAGUCUUUCCUAAAUAAAACAAAUAAAAACGAAACAAAUCUCGA
Xenia sp. Carnegie-2017 is the source of this 301-nucleotide long non-coding RNA. RefSeq lists it as uncharacterized. The record is from RefSeq and is a predicted model, not a curated record. The transcript is spliced from 2 exons. Lineage: Eukaryota; Metazoa; Cnidaria; Anthozoa; Malacalcyonacea; Xeniidae.